Molecule: ribosomal RNA, 503 nt
Filed under: uncultured bacterium
Lineage: Bacteria
Description: partial 16S ribosomal RNA
Rfam family: Bacterial small subunit ribosomal RNA
Source: RNAcentral
AUUGAACGCUGGCGGCAGGCUUAACACAUGCAAGUCGAGCGGGGUGAUGGUGCUUGCACUAUCACUUAGCGGCGGACGGGUGAGUAAUGCUUAGGAAUCUGCCCAUUAGUGGGGGACAACAUCUCGAAAGGGAUGCUAAUACCGCAUACGUCCUACGGGAGAAAGCAGGGGAUCACUUGUGACCUUGCGCUAAUAGAUGAGCCUAAGUCGGAUUAGCUAGUUGGUGGGGUAAAGGCCUACCAAGGCGACGAUCUGUAGCGGGUCUGAGAGGAUGAUCCGCCACACUGGAACUGAGACACGGCCCAGACUCCUACGGGAGGCAGCAGUGGGGAAUAUUGGACAAUGGGGGGAACCCUGAUCCAGCCAUGCCGCGUGUGUGAAGAAGGCCUUAUGGUUGUAAAGCACUUUAAGCGAGGAGGAGGCUCUUUUGGUUAAUACCCAAGAUGAGUGGACGUUACUCGCAGAAUAAGCACCGGCUAACUCUGUGCCAGCCGCCGCAGUAA